This 512-nucleotide ribosomal RNA is filed under the name uncultured Sphingobacteriales bacterium. Its description in RNAcentral is "bacterial SSU rRNA". It matches the Rfam family "Bacterial small subunit ribosomal RNA", at positions 81 to 591 of the family's 1533-position model. Lineage: Bacteria; Pseudomonadati; Bacteroidota; Sphingobacteriia; Sphingobacteriales. The record is from RNAcentral.
UAGUUUGAUGGCGACCGGCAAACGGGUGCGGAACACGUACACAACCUUCCUUUAAGUGGGGAAUAGCCCAGAGAAAUUUGGAUUAAUACCCCGUAACACAACGAAGUGGCAUCACUUUGUUGUUAUAGUUUCGGCGCUUAAUGAUGGGUGUGCGUAUGAUUAGAUAGUUGGCGAGGUAACGGCUCACCAAGUCUACGAUCAUUAGCUGAUGUGAGAGCAUGAUCAGCCACACGGGCACUGAGACACGGGCCCGACUCCUACGGGAGGCAGCAGUAAGGAAUAUUGGUCAAUGGACGCAAGUCUGAACCAGCCAUGCCGCGUGAAGGAUUAAGGUCCUCUGGAUUGUAAACUUCUUUUAUAUGGGACGAAAAAAGGUCUUUCUAGACCCCUUGACGGUACCAUAUGAAUAAGCACCGGCUAACUCCGUGCCAGCAGCCGCGGUAAUACGGAGGGUGCAAGCGUUAUCCGGAUUCACUGGGUUUAAAGGGUGCGUAGGCGGGUAGGUAAGUCAG